This 497-nucleotide ribosomal RNA is filed under the name uncultured bacterium. RNAcentral's name for it is "partial 16S ribosomal RNA". It matches the Rfam family "Bacterial small subunit ribosomal RNA", at positions 28 to 507 of the family's 1533-position model. The record is from RNAcentral.
GAUGAACGCUGGCGGCGUGCCUAAUACAUGCAAGUCGAGCGAACAGACGAGGAGCUUGCUCCUCUGACGUUAGCGGCGGACGGGUGAGUAACACGUGGAUAACCUACCUAUAAGACUGGGAUAACUUCGGGAAAUCGGGGCUAAUACCGGAUAAUAUAUUGAACCGCAUGGUUCAAUAGUGAAAGACGGAUUUGCUGUCACUUAUAGAUGGAUCCGCGCCGCAUUAGCUAGUUGGUAAGGUAACGGCUUACCAAGGCAACGAUGCGUAGCCGACCUGAGAGGGUGAUCGGCCACACUGGAACUGAGACACGGUCCAGACUCCUACGGGAGGCAGCAGUAGGGAAUCUUCCGCAAUGGGCGAAAGCCUGACGGAGCAACGCCGCGUGAGUGAUGAAGGUCUUCGGAUCGUAAAGCUCUGUUAUUAGGGAAGAACAAAUGUGUAAGUAACUAUGCACGUCUUGACGGUACCUAAUCAGAAAGCCACGGCUAACUACGUG